RNAcentral lists this unclassified non-coding RNA (373 nucleotides) under uncultured Gammaproteobacteria bacterium. RNAcentral describes it as "contains 16S-23S intergenic spacer region". The record is from RNAcentral. Lineage: Bacteria; Pseudomonadati; Pseudomonadota; Gammaproteobacteria.
UCCGGUUUGUCACCGGCAGUCUCCCUAGAGUGCCCUUGCGUAGCAACUAGGGACAAGGGUUGCGCUCGUUGCGGGACUUAACCCAACAUCUCACGACACGAGCUGACGACAGCCAUGCAGCACCUGUGUUACGGCUCCCUUUCGGGCACAGCCCCAUUUCUGGAGCCUCCAGGACAUGUCAAGGGUAGGUAAGGUUUUUCGCGUUGCAUCGAAUUAAUCCACAUAAUCCACUGCUUGUGCGGGUCCCCGUCAAUUCCUUUGAGUUUUAACCUUGCGGCCGUACUCCCCAGGCGGAGGACUUAUCGCGUUAGCUGCGACACUGGGAGGCUUACCCUCUCAACGUCUAGUCCUCAUCGUUUAUGGCGUGGACUAC